AAGCAGGUGUUCAUCAGACUACGGUUGUGCUUGUCAUUCACAUGGAAGCUCCAUUUCAUUUCUGAUGUAGCCAGUACUGCUCCCCAAAACAGCCUCCCAAAAAUGAUUACUUUCUCCACCUUUUUCUUUAUGUGACCUGAUGAAACCUGGACUGGCUAUUACAGUUGGAGGGAAUGGCUUCCAAGGAGCAAGUCAUCAUCACUUUGAAACGCGCACCAGAGGUUCACAAACCGAGGACAUUCGAAGACAUUACGAGUUUCAUGACUGGAAAAGAUGAGGUGCCUGACAAGCUCCAGGGUACCCAAGAGCAGUGAGACGAGGAUACCCCC
This is a long non-coding RNA of Megalops cyprinoides (Indo-Pacific tarpon), 329 nucleotides long. RefSeq lists it as uncharacterized. Lineage: Eukaryota; Metazoa; Chordata; Actinopteri; Elopiformes; Megalopidae. The record is from RefSeq and is a predicted model, not a curated record. The transcript has 3 exons.